UCGUCUCAUCAUCCUGGGCUUUGCCUGCAUAUCAUGCAUUCAUGGGAGAAGCAUUAGCUUGAACAAGCUAAGCUAGGAUGCAAGCAGCCAUGGCAAAAUAAUAGUAGCUUGAAAUCAAAUCAGCACCAGCCGAAGCGAAGCUGGAUGAAUCUCGGCUGACCCUUCAGUUGUUCUGUUCAGGCCUGGUAUUAUCAACUCAUCUCUCUCGAUUUCUUUCCUAGUUUCCUACUUCUAGAGUUCCUCUCUAGUAUAGUAGUAUCUGAUAAUUUCUCGAUUUAGUUGUAUUCUCAUUUUUUCACAAGAAUAAAAGUACUAUUACAGAUUAUAAGUUUUCAACGACCGUUGGAAAGUUUUCACAAAACAGGGUGUCUUACUAAAUACUUACACAAAUGUCCUGCCAGCAUAGAUUGGAUCUUAACUGUAAAUUCAAUUACAGGUUACCAUCUAUAAUCUAGCUGCUCCCUUCAGUAUUUCAGUAACUAGAAAAUUAGGAUUUGAAUAUUUAAAGCCAACAGGAUCCCAUUUUACUCCUACAUAUUUGUCAUAAGUAGUGGGCCGAUGGGUCGAGGCCCUAGGGAUAAGGAUAGCUAGAGUCGGUUCGAUAAGAUUAGAUUGGGUCCUCCCUCCAUCUAUAUAAGGAUAGAUUGUACCGUUAUUCUAAUUAAGCAAUGAAUCAAGAUUAGUCUCUCCCAACCUAAGUCCCCCUCUCAUCCCUAGCAGCCGUCGCCGCCCGGCUAUCCUCCCGAUGGUGUUUACCCCCUAUGAAUCCUAACCCAUAACAUCUUAUUGUCCAUUUUACUUGUACUGUUUUCAUAAAUCAAAACUGUGCAUGCUAGAGGGUACCAGAAUGGCCAUGCACAUCCAUUUCGGAUGUAGAGGCUGGUUUAAUCCAUUUUCUGAAAGAAAAAAAAAGGCAACACCAGAAGUCAUCAGCUUGUCUAUCAACUGCAGGUGGGAUCCACUCAUUAGAAUAAGAAAACAUUUCUGGUUCACCUUGAAAAUCUGUGGCUUAGUGAUAAAUUCAAGAAAAAAGCCUCUAGUUUUGUCACACUUUAAACUGUUGUAAGCUAAUUUUACCAACAUAUCUUUAGUUUUGUGAGAUUUACUCACACCCCUAACCACAGCUCACUACUAAGAUGCAUUACAAAAAUGAUCAAAUAUACAGGUGAAACAAAUCCAAUAUGGUAAUGGGACACAAAUUAAGGUAUACUACAACAGGAAAUAAAUGAGUUGCUCUUGUACAAGCUAUGUUAACAACUUAUUUCUGUGGUGAAAGGUGAUCAGCAUUUCAUUCAAAGAAAGAUCUUUAAUUAUUCACAUCACAAAAUGGAAGAUAAACUAGGUCUUCCAGAAAAUAAGCUUAGAGAUUUUAUCCAAGGAGCUGACAAGGCAAAAUGGAUAGCUAAGAAUAAUCAUAACAUAAAGUAUUUUACAGAAGAUGAGAUCAAAAGAACUACCAGCAACUACAGCACUAGCCUUGGAAAUGGUUCAUUCGGAAAAGUUUACAACGGAAUCAUUGAUGAUAACACUGCAGUUGCGGUGAAAAGAUAUUCCCGCAUAGAUUCAGAAGAAGAGUUUGCCAAAGAAGUAAUUGUCCACAGCCAAGUCAACCAUAAGAAUGUAGUUAGGCUAAUUGGAUGUUGUACAGAGAAAAAUGCUCCAAUUAUGGUCUUUGAGUAUGUCUCUAAUGGAACCCUUUGCGAGAACCCACAUGGCAGUAAUGUUCCCGUCUAUUUGGACAAAAGGUUGAGUAUAGCCAUACAAUGUGCGGAAGCGCUAGAGAUAGUUUUACAUAUACUUCCAACGUAAACAAUGAUAACAAAUUCGAGAAAAUAUUAAAUGGUAAGGUUACAAUGCAUCUACCAAUCCUACCAAACUUUAUAGCAAAAUACAACUUAUAUAAAGUAAAAAAAAUAAUGCUAAUAGCUCAGGUGUAAAAUGAGUCGAAAAUUUAUUUAGGAGACAAAGGCCAAAUCUUUUAGGGGAGCAAAAUGAACUUUUUUUUCCUUAAAUGAAUUAUAAUCCCUCAGUCAUUAAUAGACAACGUUUUUCGAUGCUAAAACUACACUUAAACUAGUGUUAAAACUAUCAUAUAUUAAUGAAUGGAGGAAGUAAUUUCACGUUAAUUAAUAGUGCUAAUUAGAUCUAUGCCAUUGCAACUUUGCCAAAUUGAAAAAAUAUCACUACUAUUCGAUAUAUAUGCUACAUGCCACUAAAAUUUUCUAAAAUUAGAACCAUGCCACUCCAGUCAUAUUUUCCGUCCUUCUCGCUCACGCCGUCUCUAUUCCCGUCCUCAUCCCCUAUCCACGGCUACACGCGGCUCCGCCGCCGCAGCAGUAGCAACAGCGGGUCCAGCCCGCCGCCUAUGGAUGCCUUCUGUCGUUGAUGCGCUUGACAUCGGCGAAGUCAGCCUACCGCGCGAGGCCGACGUCAUCGCACCAGCCGUAGAAGGCGAGGAGGUCGUCGAUUUGCUUGGCGGUGCUCCAUGUCGAAGAAGCGGUCAAGGAGGACGGCGAGCACGACGGCGACAUCAGAGGAGAGCUGCGUGCUCUCCUUGACCAUGGGGUAGAGCGCGGGUCGCCGUUGGCGACGAGGCGGUGGACGAGCGCGAGGCCACGCGCGACUCUGCCGCCUCUGCCGGCCCCACGCGCCUCCACCAGCCCCGCCCGCCCCCGCGUGGCCCCGCCGCCCCCACCGGCCAUGCGCGCAUCCGCCGCCUCCAUGGCUCCACGCGCCUCCGCGCACCUCAGCCACCUCAGCCGGCCCGGCGCGGCUCCGCCGCCUCCGCGGCUCCUAUCCCCGACAAGCGCCGCGCGCGCAUCCUCAGCCCUGCUCCGCGGGUGCCCUAGCUUCCGCGUGCGUGUGCUAGGACAGGACCUGAAAUGGCGUGAGAGAGGAGAUGAAAAAGCGACGGGAGUGGCAUGGUUCCAAUUUUAGAAAUUUCCAGUGUCAUAUAGUUGAUAUAAUGAAUAGUGGUGGUAUUUUUUUUAAUUUAGCAAAGUUGCAAUGGCAUAUAUCCAAUUAACCCUUUAAUAUGUAUACAUUUCCAUUUGGUGGCAGCAAAACAAAUUAUUCUCCCGUAUGAUUUUCCAAUUCCGCACGUUUUCUCCUCCUCCCGUAUUAUUUGAGAAUUAUUUGAGACACAUAAAAGCACAUGAAUUUUAUGAGAAAUUGUUCAUUUCUCACGGUGAACAUAGAAAAUUAGACAUCGCCCUGUAAAAGCAGAACAAACAGAUUAUAAGGAAUUCCAAUGUAUAGGCUAUAGCAGAUAAAAAAGCUCAAAACCUCAAUGUUUCUGGGUACACAUGAACGUUUUUCACAACAUACCCGCAAGUACUGGACCUCCCUCUACCACGACGUAACAAAACCAGGGAAAUCCAAGAUCCAACAUGUACAGCAAUGUACAAAGUAUUUUACUACUUCUAACAGGCUCAGCUCUUUCUCUACUUCUUCCUUUGACUACGCAAUAUGGUGGUUCAAUCGAUAGUUACAGAGAACCACAAUAAGAAGAUGGCUAUACCAAUCGUAUAUUCCUAUGUAUGCUAUGAUCGAUUCAUCUGACUACAAAUCCGGUCCAGAGCUAACAAAGGAGCUCGAAGGAAACAGAACCACCUGACGACAUUUACACGUCAUCAUCUGCCUCGUCUUGCUCGUCUCCCUCCUCUUCCUCCUCUUGCUGAGCAAACAAAGCAACAGCAUCACUCCACCAGUAUUCAGAUGCAUGGGCCAAUGUGGAAAUAAAUGAAUUUACACAGACAGGUAUAGAGAAAAUUUAGAUGAACCCUUGAAACAAACAGUCAAAGAGAAAUAUAACAUCGUUAAUGUGGUUUUGGGAGUGUGUUGAAACAAUUAACUGUAAAAGAUCAAUGCACGGAAUUCAGUUGUUUCUUGAAUUAUAUAUAUAAAAAAAAGGUAAGCUCUUGACUCUUCGCUCCUAUCAAGUGCAAAAUAGGUGUGCUUCAAAGAGUUCAAACACACUGUUCUCUUGGAGGGGUUGGGAACCCCUCCCCUCCGCACGAAAAACGGAGCAAUAGAUUAACAUGUGAUUAAUUAAGUAUUAGCUAUAAAAAACUUGAAGAAUGGAAUUAAUAUGACUUUUUAAAACAACUUUCCUAUAUAAAUUUUUCGCAAAACGCAUACCAUUUAGCAGUUUGAAAAGUGUACACGCGGAAAACGAGGGAGAUGAGUUGGGAACACAGCCAAGCUAGCGAAGCAAUACUUGAUGGGAUAUUUGAGAGGUGAGAGAUGUGUAAGUGGGUCAAAAUUGCAGGUCUGCAUCAUAUACCUUUUUAACUUUAAGAUGAACAUAAUAGCAAACCAUAUGUUAACAAGCAGAAACUGUCAUACAAAAAGCAUACCUCCUGUAUUUGCAUUGCUGCCACCCUUGCCAGCAUAUCUGUACGCAAUUUGUUUUUAGAAAUAAACGUUCAUUAGUAAAUCAAUAUAAUUGAGACUGGUGUAAGGAUUGUGGAGAGUAUGGGACAAUCAUGGCUGCUGAGAAAACGUCAAGCUUCAUGUCUCACCAAAUUGAUGAUAUCUUCCACUUCAAACUGAAAGCAUAUCUCUCCAGUCCUUUGCGGAUCUGCACCACAUCACAGCACAUUUGAGAGACUAAUAGAUCAUACGACGAGAAUAUCAACAAAUAUAUAGAGCCAUCCCAACCAAAAAUAGAUCUCCUUUCAAUUCUUCUGAGAAACAAGUAUCAAUUCACAAAACAUACUAGUGACUCAGUUUGAAUGCAGUGCAAGAGCAAUGGAUGGAUAUGGGUCUGCACAAACAUAGUUUACUCAUUGUCGAUAAUGGAAUUCAGCCUUACCUAAGUUGGAUAAACAAUGCACAAAGAUAUCAUCAGCAUAUAUAGUUUGUAAUAUGGCAUGUUUUUAUGAUUUUAUUUUGGAUCCCUCUAUCUGCUAAUUGUGAAGAACAAGUUUGCUUAUGUUUUUCAUUCAGAUUACUCUAGCUGGUCACAAUUUUUGACAUCAUAUAACAGUACCUUACCAGUUGGAACAGGUAUUCUUCUGUUGAAAAUAAACCUUCUGAUGUGGAUAGCAAAAAAAUAUGAUCAAUUAUACAACUAAAUAAAAUAAUCUUAGGUUGUAAAAAGUACACAAUUGAUGAAACUCACAUUGUUUAAUGCCAGUAUUAUUAACAAAGAAAUGACUUAAAAAAACCAGAAGCGCAACCUGCCAACCUCCAUAUGGCAAAAACAAUGGACACAUGUUAACAAUAUGUAGUUAAUCUUCUCGCUUAACCUAAUUCCAACUCCUGCCCAGAUGAGGAAUUGCCUGAUAUUUCAGCAUGUGCUGCAUUUGCAGACCUUGCAAGAGCUUCUCGUAUCAUACGGAACCCUUCUUCCUGAAUGACAUAAAUAACUAGCUUGUCUGAUAACAUUGUAAUGUUCCAUAGAAGAUAAAACAAAAUUGGAACCCCCCCCCCCCCCCAACAACAACACCCCAAUAAAAGUUGCUGCGACGGAAAUGGAAAACUUCAAACAUCAUCAAUUGAACAUGAAUGUAAAACACAAAAGGUCCCAAAUAAAACGCAAGGAACCCAGAAAAGUAAUCCUGACUUAUAUUGUAGCUACAUUUUGCAUAUGCUGAUAACCAUAGGAUAUAUAUUUCAAAUCUUAAAUCAUUGAUAAUAGCAUCUAUAAUUAUCUCACCAAUUAUAUUGUUAAUGUUAUCCUGCCAGUAAAAUAGCACCAAAGAAAUCAAAUGAUGAUGAUUAAUAAUCAUGACCAUUUCAAUCUUUUUUCAGGGCAAUUUGCAUCUUUAGAAGGUAAGCACAACAAAUGAGGAAGUGGCUCAAGAUUCUAGCAACACAUUCAAGGCGCUUCAAAAGAAAAUAAGGUUCCCAAAUAAGAAAAAGGGAAUAUUUAAAAUUCUAAACAGAUCCAAGAUUAGAAGUCUAAAUGUAGUUCCUGUUUAUUCAUAUUCAUAUAAUCAGAUUACUGUUUACUAAAAACUGAUUUGGAAACAGAUUGUUGCUAGAGUUAUGUUUUUUUUUUCUGGAGAAUACUACACGGGACAGAACAAGCACUUCCCAAGGGCAGUUAAGUUCAUAGGGUGUUGCUAUACGCACUAGCACACAUGGGUGCACAGUGAUUUUUGAUGUUUUGAGGGAUGAGUGCUCCGAGGCAAUAAACUGAUAGACAUCACCGCAAAUACAAAUAUAUGCUUGAUGGAAUUCUGCAGCCAUAGAGUUCAUGGUUUGAUAGUAGUUGGACUUGUGCACAAAGAAAGCCAGUGAUCUCAAUAAGGAUAGUAACACUGUAACAUAGACACGUAGUAGCAUACCG
RNAcentral lists this long non-coding RNA (6298 nucleotides) under Oryza sativa (Asian cultivated rice). RNAcentral's name for it is "long non-coding RNA (OSAT_LNC001795)". The record is from RNAcentral. Lineage: Eukaryota; Viridiplantae; Streptophyta; Magnoliopsida; Poales; Poaceae.